UGCAGUCGAGCGAACAGAUAAGGAGCUUGCUCCUUUGACGUUAGCGGCGGACGGGUGAGUAACACGUGGGUAACCUACCUAUAAGACUGGGAUAACUUCGGGAAACCGGAGCUAAUACCGGAUAACAUUUGGAACCGCAUGGUUCUAAAGUGAAAGAUGGUUUUGCUAUCACUUAUAGAUGGACCCGCGCCGUAUUAGCUAGUUGGUAAGGUAACGGCUUACCAAGGCGACGAUACGUAGCCGACCUGAGAGGGUGAUCGGCCACACUGGAACUGAGACACGGUCCAGACUCCUACGGGAGGCAGCAGUAGGGAAUCUUCCGCAAUGGGCGAAAGCCUGACGGAGCAACGCCGCGUGAGUGAUGAAGGGUUUCGGCUCGUAAAACUCUGUUAUUAGGGAAGAACAAAUGUGUAAGUAACUGUGCACAUCUUGACGGUACCUAAUCAGAAAGCCACGGCUAACUACGUGCCAGCAGCCGCGGUAAUACGUAGGUGGCAAGCGUUAUCCGGAAUUAUUGGGCGUAAAGCGCGCGUAGGCGGUUUCUUAAGUCUGAUGUGAAAGCCCACGGCUCAACCGUGGAGGGUCAUUGGAAACUGGGAAACUUGAGUGCAGAAGAGGAAAGUGGAAUUCCAUGUGUAGCGGUGAAAUGCGCAGAGAUAUGGAGGAACACCAGUGGCGAAGGCGACUUUCUGGUCUGUAACUGACGCUGAUGUGCGAAAGCGUGGGGAUCAAACAGGAUUAGAUACCCUGGUAGUCCACGCCGUAAACGAUGAGUGCUAAGUGUUAGGGGGUUUCCGCCCCUUAGUGCUGCAGCUAACGCAUUAAGCACUCCGCCUGGGGAGUACGACCGCAAGGUUGAAACUCAAAGGAAUUGACGGGGACCCGCACAAGCGGUGGAGCAUGUGGUUUAAUUCGAAGCAACGCGAAGAACCUUACCAAAUCUUGACAUCCUUUGAAAACUCUAGAGAUAGAGCCUUCCCCUUCGGGGGACAAAGUGACAGGUGGUGCAUGGUUGUCGUCAGCUCGUGUCGUGAGAUGUUGGGUUAAGUCCCGCAACGAGCGCAACCCUUAAGCUUAGUUGCCAUCAUUAAGUUGGGCACUCUAGGUUGACUGCCGGUGACAAACCGGAGGAAGGUGGGGAUGACGUCAAAUCAUCAUGCCCCUUAUGAUUUGGGCUACACACGUGCUACAAUGGACAAUACAAAGGGCAGCUAAACCGCGAGGUCAUGCAAAUCCCAUAAAGUUGUUCUCAGUUCGGAUUGUAGUCUGCAACUCGACUACAUGAAGCUGGAAUCGCUAGUAAUCGUAGAUCAGCAUGCUACGGUGAAUACGUUCCCGGGUCUUGUACACACCGCCCGUCACACCACGAGAGUUUGUAACACCCGAAGCCGGUGGAGUAACCAUUUA
RNAcentral lists this ribosomal RNA (1407 nucleotides) under Staphylococcus sp. Its description in RNAcentral is "bacterial SSU rRNA". It matches the Rfam family "Bacterial small subunit ribosomal RNA". Lineage: Bacteria; Bacillati; Bacillota; Bacilli; Caryophanales; Staphylococcaceae. The record is from RNAcentral.